GGGUGGGGGGAAUGGAUGAAAAAAGAAGAGUGAUUCUUCAGUGUUCCAGUGUAAUAUACACUGAAGUUCCAUGAGAGCUUGCAUCCUUCUUGGCCGACCUGGGCACUCUUUGGUUUGUCAUGGCUAAAAACUUUCCACAUAUAUAUAUUUUUUGAACUUAAAACCUGAAGUUCCAUCUCUGGCUCCCAAAUGGGGUUCUCUGCUCCCUGCUCCUCCUCUUCCAGAGCAGAUUUAUUGUUGGAUUGAUGAGUACUGAUCAGGAGCCAAAACAGAUGUGUCCCUGGGAAAUACAGUGACUUGAGGUUCCAUCUCACAUUCUUUCCAUUCCAGCUGAGACACACCUCCCAGGCUGCUGGAACCCUUAUCUAACAGGAAACUGGUCACUGACAGUUUUCUGUCCUGUAACUUCACAUGCCAACGUGACUGUCCCGCUGCUCUAAAGUUCUGGAGGAAUUCUUGGUGCAUCUCCUGAACUAAUCUUCCUAUCUGCUGCUCCAGCCUCCUUUGUGCCCGUCUGCCAGUGGCACCUUUUGACCUAAGCUAAGUAUGAAAUAUGGUGCCAGGGGACACCAAAGAACAAAAAAGGGCAUCAGGGAUCCUCGAGUGGCACUGUCAGCCUGGGGUCAUUUCUUCUCCAGUCCCAGACUGUGCUGUGGAUAAGACCAUUUCUAGCAUGUUCCACUGAGGCACCUCCUUCCGUUAUGGCUACCGCAAGGCUCUGAGUCAAACUGGAGGAACGAGGGAAAAUCUGCCAAACUGACAGCUAGGGGUGAAGAGGUGGUAAGGAAAGCGGAACGCUCUGUCACCUGUGGGAGGCCUUGGGGAGAAGCAGAUGAUGGGAGGACGGGUUCUCCCCAAAGCUCUGGAAUCUCACGCACCCAGCGAACGCUGACUGCCCUGUCAUGUGAUGAGAGGGGUUAAGUUGGAGUUCUCCUCAGAGGUUCUCUCUCCAUCUGGUGACCUCUUCCUUUUUCGACCACCUGAAAAACACAGCUUGUAAGGAUCAAUCUUCAAGACUGGGAGGACACUGAUACUCUCUCAGUGGUCUAAGCUUUCUUCAAAAUAGAAGCAGGAAUGGAGACAAAGCCCUUGAUAGUUUGUCAGAAGUAACCUGCAUUGUCUCCUGGUGCUGACAUCAGCAUAUUUACAUCUUGAAGGAUUAGGAUGCACCUUCCACCUGAGAUGACAUCUCCAAAAAGCCGCACACCCAGGCUAGUGCCAAUGGAAUGGAGAUUUCCUGGAGGAGACUGAGCGAAGCCCACAUAAUGCCUCAGGAUCACGCCUCCCCAUCCCCAGCUCAAAUGACUGCCAGACACCCUCUGAGAGAGGACUGGUCUCACAGACUUUGAUGUCCCUGAGCCAGGGGUGGUGGGUGUAGUUGGGAGCAACCCCCCCCGCCCACCCCCCAGGGACCUACAUUCUCUAGAUCAGAGGCAACCUCCCUUCUGCACUGGGGUACGUGGGGGUAAUUAUAUAACUGCCCUCAAGGAUGGAAGGGCACUCUGUUCCCAGCUCCAUUGUUUUUAGGAAGGAGUAUUUUUCACCUUGUUCUCUCUGCCAUGGACUUCCUUCCAUGGAGGAUAUUGCUUUCCUUUUUAUUGAGUGUCCCAAACACCAAUUCUUUCCUUAAAGGACCAGAUUGUAAAUAUUUUAGGUUUUGCAGGCCAUUUGGUCCCUGUUGCAACUACUCAACUCUGCCAUUGUGGCCAUCAAUAACAAGGGGGUUCUAUGAUCCAGUAAGUCUUUAUUUUUUACAGGAAUGGGCAGGGGAGGGAGGUCAGCAUUUGAUCUGUGGCCAUGGUUUGCAGACUCCUGUCCUAGACGACCACCAACUAAGUGGGACAGUUCCCCAAAGUAUCAAAGGUGCAGUACCGCCUGAGCCCUAUUAUGGGUUUCCACAAUUGUACCUCAUUAGGGUUCCCAACAGAAGUCAAUGGUUCCUCCUCCAGGAAUAAGAUCCUAACAUGUUUUUUGUACUAACCAGCUGGUGGGCCGUUUUCAUCUGGGUGAAGAGCUACUCACUCAAGGUUCUCAGCAACUUCUGGCCCAUGGUUUCCUCAAAGCUGCUGCUGCAGCGGCUGGUCUCUGUGUCCAGGUUGAUAUGACAACUUUCACUAUCUGAUGCUGAGAGAAAGGAAAGAAGAAAGAACACAAGCCUUUCUACCUACACACCCAGGGAUCCAGGGCCCAGUUUCCCUCCCUGACCUGCUCUCAUGGGAACAGCUGCAGGAGACAGUGAGAGUUGCUGUGUGCUCUGCUCCUCGAAGUCUGUCAUCUCCUCCUGGGUGAAGGCCAUCUCCUCCAUCCUCAGGUAGAAAAACGGACCAUGUGCUGUGAUGCUCGGCUGCCCUAGUCACAGCAAGGUCCUCUGGCCUGAGAAAAAGGACGACACGUGCA
This is a long non-coding RNA of Balaenoptera ricei (Rice's whale), 2397 nucleotides long. RefSeq lists it as uncharacterized. The record is from RefSeq and is a predicted model, not a curated record. Lineage: Eukaryota; Metazoa; Chordata; Mammalia; Artiodactyla; Balaenopteridae. The transcript is spliced from 3 exons.